GUGACAGCAGCCGCGGUAAUACGGGGGGGGCAAGCGUUGUUCGGAAUUACUGGGCGUAAAGGGUUCGUAGGUGGCUUACUAAGUCAGACGUGAAAUCCCUCAGCUUAACUGGGGAACUGCGUCUGAUACUGGAAAGCUUGAGUGCAGGAGAGGAACGCGGAAUUCCAGGUGUAGCGGUGAGAUGCGUAGAUAUCUGGAGGAACACCGGUGGCGAAGGCGGCGUUCUGGACUGCAACUGACACUGAGGAACGAAAGCCAGGGGAGCAAACGGGAUUAGAUACCCCGGUAGUCC
RNAcentral lists this ribosomal RNA (292 nucleotides) under uncultured bacterium. RNAcentral's name for it is "partial 16S ribosomal RNA". It matches the Rfam family "Bacterial small subunit ribosomal RNA", at positions 505 to 796 of the family's 1533-position model. The record is from RNAcentral.